Molecule: ribosomal RNA, 459 nt
Filed under: uncultured bacterium
Lineage: Bacteria
Description: partial 16S ribosomal RNA
Rfam family: Bacterial small subunit ribosomal RNA
Source: RNAcentral
CCUACGGGAGGCAGCAGUGAGGAAUAUUGGUCAAUGGCCGAGAGGCUGAACCAGCCAAGUCGCGUGAGGGAUGACGGCCCUACGGGUUGUAAACCGCUUUUGUCGGGAAGUAAAGAGACUCACGUGUGGCUCUUUGAGUGUACCUUAUGAAUAAGCAUCGGCUAAUUCCGUGCCAGCAGCCGCGUUAAUACGGAGGAUGCGAGCGUUAUCCGGAUUUCUUGGGUUUAAAGGGUGCGAAGGCGGAGGUGAAAGUGUUUGGUAAAAUUGCGGGGCUAAACCCGGCACUGCCGUUGAAACUGCAUCCCUUGAGUGCGCGAAAAGUAGGCGGAAUGCGUGGUGUAGCGGUGAAAUGCUUAGAUAUCACGAAGAACUCCGAUUGCGAAGGCAGCAUGCCGGAGCGGAACUGACGCUGAUGCACGAAAGCGUGGGUAUCGAACAGGAUUAGAUACCCUUGUAGUC